Molecule: ribosomal RNA, 443 nt
Filed under: uncultured bacterium
Lineage: Bacteria
Description: partial 16S ribosomal RNA
Rfam family: Bacterial small subunit ribosomal RNA
Source: RNAcentral
ACUACGGGUGGCAGCAGUGGGGAAUAUUGGGCAAUGGGCGCAAGCCUGACCCAGCAACGCCGCGUGAAGGAAGAAGGCUUUCGGGUUGUAAACUUCUUUUCUCAGGGACGAAGAAAGUGACGGUACCUGAGGAAUAAGCCACGGCUAACUACGUGCCAGCAGCCGCGGUAAUACGUAGGUGGCAAGCGUUAUCCGGAUUUACUGGGUGUAAAGGGCGUGUAGGCGGGGAAGCAAGUCAGAUGUGAAAACCACGGGCUCAACCUGUGGCCUGCAUUUGAAACUGUUUUUCUUGAGUACUGGAGAGGCAGACGGAAUUCCUAGUGUAGCGGUGAAAUGCGUAGAUAUUAGGAGGAACACCAGUGGCGAAGGCGGUCUGCUGGACAGCAACUGACGCUGAGGCGCGAAAGCGUGGGGAGCAAACAGGAUGAGAUACCCCAGUAGUC